AACGAACGCUGGCGGCAGGCUUAACACAUGCAAGUCGAACGCCCCGCAAGGGGAGUGGCAGACGGGUGAGUAACGCGUGGGAAUCUACCCAUCCCUACGGAACAACUCCGGGAAACUGGAGCUAAUACCGUAUACGCCCUACGGGGGAAAGAUUUAUCGGGGAUGGAUGAGCCCGCGUUGGAUUAGCUAGUUGGUGGGGUAAAGGCCUACCAAGGCGACGAUCCAUAGCUGGUCUGAGAGGAUGAUCAGCCACAUUGGGACUGAGACACGGCCCAAACUCCUACGGGAGGCAGCAGUGGGAAUAUUGGACAAUGGGCGCAAGCCUGAUCCAGCCAUGCCGCGUGAGUGAUGAAGGUCUUAGGAUUGUAAAGCUCUUUCACCGGAGAAGAUAAUGACGGUAUCCGGAGAAGAAGCCCCGGCUAACUUCGUGCCAGCAGCCGCGGUAA
RNAcentral lists this ribosomal RNA (446 nucleotides) under uncultured bacterium. Its description in RNAcentral is "partial 16S ribosomal RNA". It matches the Rfam family "Bacterial small subunit ribosomal RNA", at positions 29 to 523 of the family's 1533-position model. The record is from RNAcentral.